Molecule: unclassified non-coding RNA, 263 nt
Filed under: plant metagenome
Description: partial contains small subunit ribosomal RNA, internal transcribed spacer 1, and 5.8S ribosomal RNA
Source: RNAcentral
UUUCCGUAGGUGAACCGGCGGAAGGAUCAUUAUUGUAUAACCGAGGUGCGAGGGCUGUCGCUGACCCGAAAGGUCGUGCACGCCCGAGUGCCCUCACACACAUCCAUCUCACCCCUAUGUGCACCACCGCGUGGGUCCCCCUUUGGCUUGUUCGGAGGGGGGCUUACGUUUUCACACAAACUUUGUAUGCAGUGUAGAAUGUAUUUUUUGUUUUUGCGAUCACGCAAUCAAUACAACUUUCAACAACGGAUCUCUUGGCUCUC